Arabidopsis thaliana (thale cress) is the source of this 257-nucleotide long non-coding RNA. RefSeq annotates it as other RNA. The record is from RefSeq. Lineage: Eukaryota; Viridiplantae; Streptophyta; Magnoliopsida; Brassicales; Brassicaceae. The transcript has a single exon.
CAUGUACCGCCUAAGCUUGCCGUUGGCUGUACCCUCAAUUGCCAAUAAAUCCUUUCCAUACCCGAGACUGUCUUAGUAUGAUAUUCACCUUCAGUUAUUAGAGUCUUUUCAUAUCACAUGAUAUCUUUCCCACACAUUUGAUGGGGGCAGUACUGUCUCAGAGAUAAAUGCAUAGGCCACACAAUGGGUCUUCCAGACUGCACAAGUACACUAGAGUAGAUUAUGAUGGAGCCAUAUUAUGGAUGGCUUAUAGUGGA